RNAcentral lists this ribosomal RNA (408 nucleotides) under uncultured bacterium. RNAcentral describes it as "bacterial SSU rRNA". It matches the Rfam family "Bacterial small subunit ribosomal RNA", at positions 28 to 430 of the family's 1533-position model. The record is from RNAcentral.
GACGAACGCUGGCGGCGCACCUAAGACAUGCAAGUCGAACGGUUUCUUCUUUCGGGGAGAGAUAGUGGCGGACGGGUGAGUAACACGUGGAGGACCUGCCCCGCGGUGGGGAAUAACGCCGGGAAACCGGCGCUAAGACCGCAUACGAGCGGCGCCAUAGGGGGCGUCGCGGAAAUGCGUCCCGCGAGGGACGCAGCCGUGGGAGGGCUCCGUGGCGGAUUAGCCCGUUGGCGGGGUAACGGCCCACCAAAGCAACGANCCGUAGCUGGUCUGAGAGGAUGGCCAGCCACACCGGGACUGAGACACGGCCCGGACUCCUACGGGAGGCAGCAGUUAGGGUAAUUUUCCCAAUGGGCGCAAGCCUGAGGGAGUGACGCCGCGUGCGGGAGGACGGCCUCGGUCGUAACG